GACGAACGCUGGCGGCGUGCUUAACACAUGCAAGUCGAACGGUAAGGCCCUUCGGGGUACACGAGUGGCGAACGGGUGAGUAACACGUGGGUGAUCUGCCCUGCACUUCGGGAUAAGCCUGGGAAACUGGGUCUAAUACCGGAUAGGACUCCGGACUGCAUGGUCUGGGGUGGAAAGCUUUUGCGGUGUGGGAUGGGCCCGCGGCCUAGCAGCUUGUUGGUGGGGUGAUGGCCUACCAAGGCGACGACGGGUAGCCGGCCUGAGAGGGUGACCCGCCACACUGGGACUGAGAUACGGCCCAGGCUCGUACGGGAGGCAGCAGUGGGGAAUAUUGCACAAUGGGCGCAAGCCUGAUGCAGCGACGCCGCGUGAGGGAUGACGGCCUUCGGGUUGUAAACCUCUUUCAGCAUCGACGAAGCGAAAGUGACGGUAGGUGCAGAAGAAGGACCGGCCAACUACGUGCCAGCCGCCGCCGUAA
Molecule: ribosomal RNA, 478 nt
Filed under: uncultured bacterium
Lineage: Bacteria
Description: partial 16S ribosomal RNA
Rfam family: Bacterial small subunit ribosomal RNA
Source: RNAcentral